UUCGACCUCAAAUCAGGUAGGACUACCCGCUGAACUUAAGCAUAUCAAUAAGCGGAGGAAAAGAAACCAACAGGGAUUGCCUUAGUAGCGGCGAGUGAAGCGGCAAAAGCUCAAAUUUGAAAUCUGGCACUUUCAGUGUCCGAGUUGUAAUUUGAAGAAGGUAUCUUUGGGUCUGGCUCUUGUUAGUUUCUUGGAA
This 196-nucleotide ribosomal RNA is filed under the name Lodderomyces parapsilosis. RNAcentral describes it as "Candida parapsilosis partial 28S ribosomal RNA". It matches the Rfam family "Eukaryotic large subunit ribosomal RNA", at positions 1 to 195 of the family's 3401-position model. Lineage: Eukaryota; Fungi; Ascomycota; Pichiomycetes; Serinales; Debaryomycetaceae. The record is from RNAcentral.